This 499-nucleotide ribosomal RNA is filed under the name uncultured bacterium. RNAcentral's name for it is "partial 16S ribosomal RNA". It matches the Rfam family "Bacterial small subunit ribosomal RNA", at positions 30 to 523 of the family's 1533-position model. The record is from RNAcentral.
AUUGAACGCUGGCGGCAUGCCUUACACAUGCAAGUCGAACGGUAACGGGUCCUUCGGGAUGCCGACGAGUGGCGAACGGGUGAGUAAUAUAUCGGAGCGUGCCCAGUAGUGGGGGAUAACUGCUCGAAAGAGCAGCUAAUACCGCAUACGACCUGAGGGUGAAAGGGGGGGAUCGCAAGACCUCUCGCUAUUGGAGCGGCCGAUAUCAGAUUAGCUAGUUGGUGGGGUAAAGGCCUACCAAGGCAACGAUCUGUAGUUGGUCUGAGAGGACGAACAGCCACACUGGACUGAGACACGGCCCAGACUCCUACGGGAGGCAGCAGUGGGGAAUUUUGGACAAUGGGCGCAAGCCUGAUCCAGCAAUGCCGCGUGCAGGAAGAAGGCCUUCGGGUUGUAAACUGCUUUUGUCAGGGAAGAAAUCUUCUGGGCUAAUACCCCGGGAGGAUGACGGUACCUGAAGAAUAAGCACCGGCUAACUACGUGCCAGCAGCCGCAGUAA